AGAAGGGAUGAGAAGUUGUGCACAGAUCGCUCUUGUUCAGAUGACCACAGUGAAGCACGUCCCAAGAACAGCGUUGACUUGCAGCCUGUGCUUCUCAGGCUGGUAACAUAACCUUAACAGCAACCUUGCUGUCCACAACCAACAGUGAAGAGAAAUGCCAAGAGAGUCCUGUUAGGAUUGGAGGACAACAAAGACAGGAACAUGAACUGCUCUUCAGAUGGCGCCAUUUAAAUCUGGAGAAUGUUAACAUUCCUGCUGCAUGACAAAGGUCCACCACCCCCUGUGUUGAUACUCAUCCUGCUCAGAGGCAAUAACAUCUAAGGAUGAACAGAGGCCAUGGCACCAAAUCCUGCUUGAAGGCUACUUUCACAGAUUUAUCUUGGGAUUUUCUAGCAUUCUAUGUCGGGGGCAGUUUGCCCUUCAGGGCUUGGCUGCAUGGCUCUCGCUGUUUGCAGGGCUCCAGCUGUUUCAUUAAUGUUUAGAUGUAUGGGGCAGGAAAGUGCCUGCCCCAAAAGGUAUAAAAAUGAAAGUUUCAGCACUGUUUAACAACCACCAUUGUAGCCAGGUGGCGUUGAAGGUGAAAAACCACAAACAGUUUGUAUGGACGAACCCACC
Long non-coding RNA from Cygnus olor (mute swan), 615 nucleotides. RefSeq lists it as uncharacterized. The transcript has 3 exons. The record is from RefSeq and is a predicted model, not a curated record. Lineage: Eukaryota; Metazoa; Chordata; Aves; Anseriformes; Anatidae.